AAUGGGGGCAACCCUGAUCCAGCCAUGCCGCGUGAGUGAAGAAGGCCUUCGGGUUGUAAAGCUCUUUCGGCCGGGAAGAAAUCGUGCAGGCUAAUACCCUGUAUGGAUGACGGUACCGGAAUAAGAAGCACCGGCUAACUACGUGCCAGCAGCCGCGGUAAUACGUAGGGUGCGAGCGUUAAUCGGAAUUACUGGGCGUAAAGGGUGCGCAGGCGGUAUUGUGAGCCAGAUGUGAAAUCCCCGGGCUCAACCUGGGAACGUCGUUUGGAACUGCAAUGCUAGAGUGUGUCAGAGGGGGGUGGAAUUCCACGUGUAGAAGUGAAAUUCGUAGAGAUGUGGAGGAACACCGAUGGCGAAGGCAGCCCCCUGGGAUAACACUGACGCUCAGGCACGAAAGCGUGGGGAGCAAA
RNAcentral lists this ribosomal RNA (410 nucleotides) under uncultured bacterium. RNAcentral describes it as "bacterial SSU rRNA". It matches the Rfam family "Bacterial small subunit ribosomal RNA", at positions 370 to 772 of the family's 1533-position model. The record is from RNAcentral.